This 72-nucleotide transfer RNA is filed under the name Camelus bactrianus (Bactrian camel). It matches the Rfam family "tRNA". From Rfam's summary of the family: Transfer RNA (tRNA) molecules are approximately 80 nucleotides in length. Their secondary structure includes four short double-helical elements and three loops (D, anti-codon, and T loops). Further hydrogen bonds mediate the characteristic L-shaped molecular structure. tRNAs have two regions of fundamental functional importance: the anti-codon, which is responsible for specific mRNA codon recognition, and the 3' end, to which the tRNAs corresponding amino acid is attached (by aminoacyl-tRNA synthetases). tRNAs cope with the degeneracy of the genetic code in two manners: having more than one tRNA (with a specific anti-codon) for a particular amino acid; and 'wobble' base-pairing, i.e. permitting non-standard base-pairing at the 3rd anti-codon position. RNAcentral also lists the same sequence under 2 other names. Lineage: Eukaryota; Metazoa; Chordata; Mammalia; Artiodactyla; Camelidae. The record is from Rfam by way of RNAcentral.
GAAGGUAUAGCUUAGUGGUAGAGCACAUGCUUAGCAUGCACAAGGUCCUGGGUUCAAUCCACAGUGCCUCCU